GGAUAUAGCCAAGUGGUAAGGCAUCAGACUUUGACUCUGAUAUGCGAAGGUUCGAGCCCUUCUAUC
RNAcentral lists this transfer RNA (66 nucleotides) under human gut metagenome. It matches the Rfam family "tRNA". Rfam says of the family: Transfer RNA (tRNA) molecules are approximately 80 nucleotides in length. Their secondary structure includes four short double-helical elements and three loops (D, anti-codon, and T loops). The record is from RNAcentral.